CAACGGGAAAGAGCGCAUGGACUUGUUAGUCUGAUAGUCUGAUAGUCUGAUAGUUGGAUAGUCAGGCGAACAAGUUGACGAGGAUGAGGGUUCUGCGGCGCGAGCCGCGGCUAACUGCCUGCCUCUCCCUCUCCUUUCAGGAGAGGGCCGGGGUGAGGUCAGGAAAAUCGAACGAUCAGCGGAUGCCCUCCGGGACUGCCAGCCCCGACUCCUUUCCCUCCAGUGCAAAAUCCCUGCAACCAAUGCCGCGCGGGCAACCGCGCGGACAAAAACGCAGGGAAUGGCGAGAC
This 290-nucleotide non-coding RNA is filed under the name Chloroflexota bacterium. RNAcentral's name for it is "Chloroflexi bacterium GlcN6P sequence". It matches the Rfam family "glmS glucosamine-6-phosphate activated ribozyme aptamer". Rfam says of the family: This entry contains a glucosamine-6-phosphate activated ribozyme that is found in the mRNA for GlmS. Lineage: Bacteria; Bacillati; Chloroflexota. The record is from RNAcentral.